This 240-nucleotide unclassified non-coding RNA is filed under the name soil metagenome. Its description in RNAcentral is "partial contains 5.8S ribosomal RNA, internal transcribed spacer 2, and large subunit ribosomal RNA". The record is from RNAcentral.
AACGCACGAGACCUGCGGACCUGCGGAGGGAUCAUUACCGAGUUUACAACUCCCAAACCCAAUGUGAACCAUACCAAACUGUUGCCUCGGCGGGGUCACGCCCCGGGUGCGUCGCAGCCCCGGAACCAGGCGCCCGCCGGAGGGACCAACCAAACUCUUUCUGUAGUCCCCUCGCGGACGUUAUUUCUUACAGCUCUGAGCAAAAAUUCAAAAUGAAUCAAAACUUUCAACAAUGGAUCU